RNAcentral lists this long non-coding RNA (2351 nucleotides) under Canis lupus familiaris (dog). RNAcentral's name for it is "lncRNA (ENSCAFG00000053609.1)". The record is from RNAcentral. Lineage: Eukaryota; Metazoa; Chordata; Mammalia; Carnivora; Canidae.
UUUUUUUUUUUUUUUUUUGAGGUGGGGAGAGAGGGAGUGAGAGAGAGAAUCUUAAGCAGGCUCCAAGCCCAGCAAGGAGCAGGAUAUGCGACUUGAUGUGACAACCCUGAGAUCAUGACCUAAGCCAAAAAUCAAGAAUCAGAAGCCUCACCGAACAAGCUGCCCAGGUGCCCUAUCUUUAUAUAAAACUCUAGAAAAUGUUUUCUUAAAAAAAAAAAAAAAAAAAAACUCUAGAAAAUGCAAACUAAUCUGUAGUAACAAAAAGUAGACCAAUGAUUGUCUAACAAUGGGGCCAUAUGCAAAGAACCUGAACUACAACUCUGCUCAAUGAAAUAUGGGGGCAGUAUAUAUAUGUUUACUAUCUUCACUGUGGUAAGGAUUCCUAAUAUAACCGCAUCAAAACUUACCAACAUGUAUAUUUAAAAUAUUUUCGGUUUAUUGUAUGUUAAUUACACCUCAAGAAAGUUGUAACUAAAAAAAAAAUAGACCAGUAAGGUUAGUUUAGGAGUCCAUUAAUAUCUUAUUCUUAUCUACUUUGGAAGCUUCUGGCACAACAAAAGGGCCCUCUGGUAAGAAAGGAGGUCUUCCUGUAUGUAGUUAGAACUGUGUUGGCCAUCUGACACCUUCCUCUCAGAAAGAGGAUGGCUUUGAGUCAUUAUAAUAAAACUAAAUAAUGUAUGAAAAUAUUUCUUUUCUGUUCUAUAAAGCAAACUAUAACUCGUCCAAAAGUGUACCAGGAACAUUAAGAAACAAAUUUUAAAAAAAAUUUUUAACCCCACUAUUGAGUAUUAACCAAGCUGACAGAGGAUACUCCUUGGCAAUAAUGACUCACAGGGUUUGUAAACAGAUUGGGUAUGAGUUAUUCAUAUGCGGAAUUUGGUAUUUAGCUUAUUUAUCUUCACAUAUAACUGAUCACUGUCCACUAAGUCAGUCUUAGGAAAGGUUAGCCACACCCCCAAACAAUUUCAUAUUAUUCUUGACUAUUUUUCCACAAGUUUGUAAGGAAUACAAUAGUGGUCUCCAAUGGAACAGCCAGAUCUGGUGUUUGCAUGCUCCUCAUGUGUAAUCAUGGUUGGGAAAGGUCCACUUUAUUGUUUUUAAGAAAGUGGCACAUAUUUUGGAUGGAAUGUUCACUCUUAGGAAACAAAGUUAUUUAUCUUCUAAAAUGAGUUAACUAUAUAGUGUCUAACCAGCUGAGGUUCAACUAAAAACUACCAUGCACUAUACAUUCAAAAUGCAUAACAAUUAAUGGAAAGGAGAAAUAAACAGUGCUGACAAUGAGGAAAUUUGUGAAGAAUAAACUUUCAGGAUUGGAAUAUAUAGGGAUUCCUCGAAGUGAGAGGAGACCAGUCUAUGGAGAGAGAAAUUACAAAUUUAAGUAAAGAAAUAAAGACUCAAAGAUGAGGUCCCAUGGCAACUAAGUGACAAGCCAGGAAGUGGACCCAGACAGCCUGCUCCAGAGCCAGACUGCCCAUUGUGCAUUCAUGCCAUCAGUGACACUGACACAUGGGCAAGAGGCUUUUAAAUGGGACAUUUCCUGAGGCUGGCAGUGUCUCAACAGCUGUCUGCAGUAUGCAAACAUUUUUGAAGCCUCUCAUAUAGAGAUUGUAGGACCUAGAAUAUGCUAUGCCUUAAAGACAAAUUAUUUUGAAUAUACGGCACAUUCUGUCCUUUAAUGAAGGUGUUGAAUUUAGCUGGAAGACAGAUGACAUAACUAUAAAAUGAAUCCUUGUUACAUAUUUUUCUGAAGAAGUCAUAUUCAUUGGGAAUUUGAACUAACAACUUCAGAUAGGUCUCAGUACCAAGUUCUGGCUUAGUGUUAAAUAUGAUGGAUAAAAGAUUAUCAAAAGACCAUACAAUGCAAUGUUUUAAUAGUACUGUGGGGGAAGGAGGAUCUCAGCAGCUCUGGAGGGAAGAUCAGUUGCCCAUAUAAACCAUACAGCCUUGGUUAAGUUAAUCGUUCCAAGUCCAUUCCAUCCUCUAUAAAAUGCAGAAUAACCACGUCUGCCCUAACAAGAUCUUGGGGUUAAAAUGGUCAAAUGAGAUAAUGUAAAAGAGAUGGUCUCGUCUCUCACUCUUGUAACAUUAUUUCUUUCAGGAAUGUCACUGUAUGAUUUCUUCACCAGUAAACUUCAAUACUAUAAAAGCUGAAGCUUCUAUUCAGCCAAAGCUUCUACAAAGCCAUCUGAAUAAUUGUUUGUUCUCCUUAACCAAAUCUAAUUUAACUGCUAACAUCUAAUUGGGCAUUACAAGUUUCAUAAAUUUCCACAUUAAAGAAAAAAUUUUGCUUUUCAUAUAUUAUAAAACAUUUGUGUUAUUAUGUUAAAUCAUUCUAUUUAAAAAGUCAAAUU